RNAcentral lists this long non-coding RNA (3083 nucleotides) under Lathyrus oleraceus (garden pea). RNAcentral describes it as "Pisum sativum (pea) long non-coding RNA (PSAT_LNC029484)". Lineage: Eukaryota; Viridiplantae; Streptophyta; Magnoliopsida; Fabales; Fabaceae. The record is from RNAcentral.
GAACUGCAAAAGGAGAAUGCAAGUAUAGAGAGGAAAGGUGCGGUUCCGAGGCAAAAGAUACUAGUGACCGAGCUAGUAUCAAUUGUCAACCGAAAUUUCCCGAGGUAAUUAUAUAUGUUAUUAUGAAAUUAAAAUAGCACUUUUUACUUGAACACAUAUACACGUUAACAAUAACAUUUAUUAUUGGUUUAGGGUAUUACACCUGUCAGCUGUAUCUAUCGUCACCAACUUAUCGCAUAGUUGGCAAGGGAAAAGUGCACAACACUUCGUCGAAUUACUUCACCAUAAUCCCUCCCGGUGGAAUAUUGAAAGUUCGGUUGACCUUGUAUUAGAUACCGACGCGCUUCUACCAUUACCUGACGUGUUUCAGAGACAACGUUGAUGCGAGAUACAGUCGGAUCCUUUGUUGGAUGGCCGUCAGAUCUAAUUUCCCAGAUCGAGGUAUAUAUGUUCUAAUGAUUAUGAAUAUUUAGUAUUCACAUUUCAAUUCAGCUACAAUUAUGAUAUUUAAUCAAUCCUUAUUACAUGGUAAUGUUAGACUCCUACAAGACCCACACAUAAACUGGUAAAGGGAUUUCAAGACGCAUCGAGUCGUUGCAUGUCAAAAAGUACAAAUUAAUAUACCCAUUGAAUUAUAUACGCAACGAUUCUGUUGCAUCACAAAAAGUCAUGAUUUAAUUUAUAUGAAUUUUUAGAUUCCCGGUCGAAAGUUGAAAAAAGCUGGUAACGAUAUCCAACGACGUCGGGACAAAAUCUCAAAUUAUGAUGGUCUGAGAAAAUGGUGGAAGAGUCCGAUAUUAUGCACGGCGCCAUCCGUAGUGUAGAUUUUGAUGAAGGUGUUUUCGGAAUUGCUCAUUCCGAAAAUAAUUGCAAGGGAGACAUGCAACAACUUUUUGAACACGAAGAAUUGGCAUCGAUGUCAUUCAUACAUACAUAUGGUACUCCAUCAAUCUAUUAUUUACUUAGUUGAACAAUUUAUUUACACAUUUCAAUGAGUAGUCUAAUGUUUAUUAUGUUUCUAUAUUUAAGGUAAGUGUAUUACAUUGAUGCGGGAACUGAAUUGUGUAACCGAUUCAUUUAUUGCUGCUUCCUGUAUCAACACAACGUUUAUAACGAAAAAUCCAACAUCCGUAAAGAUGAACUAGUCGAUAGAUUCAUGGCGGCCGGCAUAAUACUACACCCAGUUUGUAUUUUUACCGUUUAAUUCUGGCAACGGGUUAGAUUUUCUUUCUAAUAAUUUCAUUCUAAUCUAUGUAUAUCUUUUACGUAGAAAAAUUUUCAUGCAUCUAAAUUUUUGUUUUAUUUUACAGUGGUCACUGGGUGUUGGUUGCUAUGGAUCUUUCGAGACUAAUGGUGUAUUAUCUCGAUCUCGUUAUCGUGGUGAUUGGAGUAAAUAUCCGAGUAUGAAGAAAGACGGUUGACGCGUAAGUGAAAUUCCCCUAAAUAUUCGUGUGUAUUUGUAUAUUAAUUAUGUCUGUCAGAUUGAUCUCAAUAUAUGUUUUUAUUUGUUAGGGCAAUACUAAGAUUUAGAUCAAAAAAGAAUUACCGUAAUAGAAGGACAUUACCUGGGUCAGAGUUCAGGUAUAUAUUAAGUAUCUUAUUUUUGCUUAUAAUAGUGUUUGUUUUUUUGCUAUAAUAGUGUUUGUAAGAAAUUAACUAUAUAUAUAUUGUUUGUUUUUCUGUGUAGUGUCCUCAGCAAAACAAUUCGGUCGAUUGCGGAUUUUUUGUAUUGAGAUUUAUGAGAGAUAUCAUUGCGUUGAAUCGUAUAGACAUCCCAAAAAUGGUAUGGAUAAUAACUUAGGGUUUAUUUUAAUAUAUCGGAUAUUUCAUCUAAUUUGUUACUAACAUAUGAAUAUGUUUUAUUCUCUUAAUUGUAGUACUUUGAGGAAUACAAAUCUUACUCAAAGAGCUCAUUUGGAUGAAAUGAAGGAUGAAUUGUCAUUCAUUGUUGAUCAAAAUCAUAUAGCUAGGUUGUAUAUGUUGUACAUAUAUGUAUGGAAUGUUGUUGUUGUAUGCUGUUGUUGUAUAUAUGUUGUAUAUUGUUGUUGUACUUUUACUAAAUCAUGAAUAUGUUGUUGUAUAUUGUUGAUCAAAGAAUCAUAUAUUAAUGUUGUAUAUAUGGAGGAUUAAUGUUGUAUAAAAUGGAUUAUUUGUAUAUAUCAUGGAUUAAUGGUGUAUAACAUUGGAUUAAAGGAUGAAAUCAUAUGAAUUUUACACUUUUGCAGCAUGCCAACAGGUUACCAAUUAAAUAUCCACUGUUUUUUCAAACAAUUUUUUAAAUAAANGGUUACAACAAAGAAUUGUGAGUAUUUCCAAAUGCUAUGAGCUUAUACAUUGUCACAAUAUGUUAUAUUGAUGAUCUUAUAAUCUGAUUCAUUUGUAGCUAGCCGACGAGAAAAGUGACGAACACUCUUCCGGAGCACGUAUUGUGGAAGGCUGCUCGGGUUGGGAAGGAUGGGUUUGUCGUUGAAGCGGUUCAAAAUGUUAUACGAAUGUGUUAAGUAUAUGUAACAUUAUUUCUUUAAUUAUAUCGAAAAUUUGUUAGACAUAUAAUUCAUUUUUAAUCUCCUCUAAUAAUAUUUCAGGAGACUUUAUCACAAACCUUACCUUCAACCGAGGUCCAGGAUUGCAGGAGCGUACUUAGUCGAGUACUAAAUGUUCCUGAGUAUUCCGGUCGUGUGAGGGGUAGGGUUUUGGUGUGACUCCGUUGUCAUUUUAUAAAAAACCAAAAACAAAAAAUCCUACCAACAAAGAGGUGAUGGAGACCUUGGCGGAGUUAAGGGCACAAGUACUCGAACUGCAAAAGGAGAAUGCAAGGUAUAGAGAGGAAAGUGCGGUUCCGAGGCAAAAGAUACUAGUGACCGAGCUAGUAUCAAUUGUCAACCGAAAUUUCCCGAGGUAUAUUAUAGUAUUAUGAAAUAAAAUAGCACUUUUUACUUGAACACAUAUACACGUUAACAUAACAUUUAUUAUUGGUUUAGGGUAUUACACCUUGUCAGCUGUAUCUAUCGUCACCAACUUAUCGCAUAGUUGGCAAGGGAAAAGUGCACAACACUUCGGCUGAAUUACUUCACCAUAAUCCC